CCACUUGUUAAGCCUACGCAGCUCAGAACUGCAGCAGGAGGAAGAGGGACUUGAUGAGUGGGAAUGGGUCUUUAUUAUUGGUAUAUAGAGGGCAUUUUGGAAAAGGACAUCACUAGGAUCAGAGAAUCCAGCACAUCUGGAGAGGUUUGCCAAAGUCUAAUGCAUUGGACUAAUUAAUGCCUUUCAGAAAACCGAGAUGUAUUUGUAUUUUUUAAGAUGGCUGGAGAAGGAGAGGAAAGGUGUCCCUGUGAGAAGAUGAAGAGUACCAAGCUGUGACUGCCAACAUACUUUGAAUGAAGAAAUUGCAAGUUGCUUAAAAGGAACAUUUUGGGAAAGUGAACUUAAAAAGGCUACAUGAUUAAUUCUGCUUUCAACAUCGGAUGUGAAAGCCUGCUUAGGAACCCCCUGCGUGGAAUGGCAGCAGAGAAGAACAAGAAGUGCCUGGUUUGUGUCAGGAGGAACAGGCUGUGCUGUUUCCAGUGCUCUCCUCAGCCUCCCACAGCCACAGAGUCCUUAACAGCAGUCAUUAAACUUCCUAACGUAGACCAGCAUGAGGCCUUGUACUGGGAGAUAGUCCUUGAAGUCCAGCUAAAAUCUUUCUCCUCUUAGUCAUGGUCGUUCCUCAGAGCCACACAGUACCUUCAGAAAAUAUGAACAGAAGCAGAGUUGCUCUGCAAGGGAGUCACUACUGCUGGAAGCAUUAACAGCUUUAAUGAGGAAAGCAGGGCAGGUCUGAGGGUUUGUAGUUACUGCUCUGCACAGAUCCAGGUGAGAUGUACGCUGGCUUAAAUGGGCAUUUGGAGAAUUACUAAGGUAGGUGUGACAGCAGUGAACCAAAAUUGUUCAUUAUGGGGAGGGUAGGUGGAAGGAAAACCAGUUUAGAUGUGAUGUUACCAACACUUUUCCUUUAUUCCCAGAAAAAAAGACCUGUCAGUGACUCUCUUCCGCAUUGUCUCCUGAGAUAGAAGACUUCCCAAGGUGUGUGUAGAUUGAAACCAAACACAAAAACCUCCUACUCCAGGUGCUGUUCUCCAACAAAGAAUUACUCAUCCCAGUAAGGAUUUGUCAUUGAGAUGCCUUGUAGUUUAUUAAUUUUUUCCAAAGAAAGGGUGAGGUCAUUCUUUUUAUUUUAAA
This is a long non-coding RNA of Pipra filicauda (Wire-tailed manakin), 1134 nucleotides long. RefSeq lists it as uncharacterized. The record is from RefSeq and is a predicted model, not a curated record. NCBI's taxonomy places the organism in Eukaryota, Metazoa, Chordata, Aves, Passeriformes, Pipridae. The transcript is spliced from 5 exons.